RNAcentral lists this long non-coding RNA (328 nucleotides) under Manihot esculenta (cassava). RNAcentral describes it as "long non-coding RNA (MESC_LNC009724)". Lineage: Eukaryota; Viridiplantae; Streptophyta; Magnoliopsida; Malpighiales; Euphorbiaceae. The record is from RNAcentral.
CCCUAUAUCUUAUAAUAAUUUGAAUGUGGUUAAAGCUGCUUUACAGAAGUCUUGGCAUACAAGGAAUGAGUUUCACAUCUUAGCUAAGACUGCUUUAUUGAAGUCUUGGCAUACAAGGAAUGAUUUUCAGAUCUUAGCUAAGAACAACGUUUUUCUCCUAUUAUUUGUUAGGAAAAUGUGAUUAGCUUUGUUACUGAUUUGUUGAAAAUACUCGGAUACCAUUUUGUUGGAAGAAAACUAUGAUAUUGCUUUGUUGGAAAGGAUAUUACUCAAGAAAAUACUAGGAAGAGAGAGAACAUAUGAAAGCACUCAUAUUGUAAGCAAUAAG